This 292-nucleotide ribosomal RNA is filed under the name uncultured bacterium. RNAcentral describes it as "partial 16S ribosomal RNA". It matches the Rfam family "Bacterial small subunit ribosomal RNA", at positions 505 to 796 of the family's 1533-position model. The record is from RNAcentral.
GUGCCAGCCGCCGCGGUAAUACGGGGGGGGCAAGCGUUGUUCGGAAUUACUGGGCGUAAAGGGCGCGUAGGCGGCCUGAGAAGUUCUGGGUGAAAGCCCCCGGCUUAACCGGGGAAGGGCCUGGAAAACCAUUGGGCUGGAGUGCUGGAGAGGGAAGCGGAAUUCCUGGUGUAGCGGUGAAAUGCGUAGAGAUCAGGAGGAACAUCGGUGGCGAAGGCGGCUUCCUGGACAGACACUGACGCUGAGGCGCGAAAGCCAGGGGAGCAAACAGGAUUAGAAACCCUCGUAGUCC